UACGUAGGUGGCAAGCGUUGUCCGGAUUUACUGGGCGUAAAGAGCGCGCAGGCGGCCAAGUAAGUCGAAUGUGAAAGCCCCCGGCUUAACUGGGGAGGGUCAUUCGAUACUGCUCGGCUCGAAGACAGGAGAGGGAAGUGGAAUUCCCGGUGUAGUGGUGAAAUGCGUAGAUAUCGGGAGGAGCACCAGUGGCGAAGGCGACUUUCUGGCCUGUUCUUGACGCUGAGGCGCGAAAGCUAGGGGAGCAAACGGG
This 253-nucleotide ribosomal RNA is filed under the name uncultured bacterium. RNAcentral's name for it is "partial 16S ribosomal RNA". It matches the Rfam family "Bacterial small subunit ribosomal RNA", at positions 524 to 776 of the family's 1533-position model. The record is from RNAcentral.